RNAcentral lists this non-coding RNA (25 nucleotides) under Cricetulus griseus (Chinese hamster). The record is from RNAcentral. Lineage: Eukaryota; Metazoa; Chordata; Mammalia; Rodentia; Cricetidae.
CACAAGUUUGACAAGUUUGCUGUAG